AAAACUCUAGAGGUAUAAAUGCUUGUGCUAAAAAAGAAUGAGAAUCAAGGAUAAGAGUGGUUGAGGUAAGGUAACAGGAGCUAGGGAUCUGAACAGAAGGGAAAUAGCAGGCCAGUGAGCAGAAUCAACAAAGAACUACUUACCACUGACUCCAGGGAGAGGCUGCAUGAGUCAUCUCUGGGUUUUGCUUGCUCCAGUAUACCUGUCAGAGAGGGGCUGACAAGUGUAGAGUGGGGCUGACAGCUGUGGGACAGAGGAAGAGACAGAGUCCUAAAGUUACUGUGGUGUAGACAUCAACAACCAUGGAUGAUCUUGGAUGUGUCAUUACCUCUCUGGGUCUUGAUAUCCUAAAAUACAAAAGGAAAGAUUACACUAAGCCAUCUCUCUGAUCCCGUUAGCACCAACCCUCUGUGAUCUUGAAGAUGUAAUCUCUGGUUUAUAGAUCUGCAUUUAUGUCAAGGGAAAUGUCAUGUAUGUGUGGUGUCUGUUUGAUGGCCAUGUGACAACUGAAGACUGGCUCUGAUGGAUGACUUAAGUAACCUCUGGAGGGUACCCACACUGUGACCAUAAACCACUAUGCCCGUGUGGAAAACACUGCAGUCCUGGGGCGAAAGACAAACUUCAUGCUUGAUAAAAAAACAACUAAAAGAAAGCAAUGAAGAAACCUUUCCUUUGUUACUUCCUUCCUUGGUGAUUGCCUGCCUUCUUCACCAAUAUACUGGAGUUACAGAAUGCGGUGAUAUGUACUUUACAAUGGGAUUAAAUAUGGCAACAUGGCUAGAUCUGCACAAAUCUGGAACUCUCGUUCUGUUUGUGCUAUAGAGUAAGUAUCCUUAUGUAAGUGUUCUUUCACUUGUGAUUUCUUCUACACAGUCCCUCAAUCAUUCUGCAGUAAAGCUCAGGCUUUUUAGCUCAAGGUUGAUGGACAAAAUGAUGGAAGGGGGAAGGACGUGACUUGCAUUCAUAUAUAUUGUGUUUCUUAAAACUGGGAAACCUCCAUUGCAUUAUAAAGGUCUAGAUGAAAAUAUGAGGUAAUGUUCAGCUGAAACCAUCAAAAUUAUAAGCUCUCCUAAAUUAGCUUGAAAACUCAUCAGUAGUAUAAAGACUUUAGUUUCUCGAUAGCACAGUGGAUUGAGAUUAGGUGAUUAUUCAUACCUGCCCAAAUGUCCCUGGGUAACAAGGAUAGGUAAAACCAAGGCAAUGUGACACAUUUGAAAGUUGCUGAGUUGAAUAUGAGAUGUAAGCAAAACCGUCCAAAGCUGUGAUUGAAUACUAGGAUUAGUCCUUCAGUACAUUGGGUUUUAUUUUUUAUUUUUCCAGGCAGGUUAAGGUUUUAGAAAUGUGACCUCAGUACUAACUAAAACUCAUCCUAAUUAAAGAGAAUGUCUAAUGAUAAUAAAGUCUUGAGACUAAUCUUUGGGCA
This 1423-nucleotide long non-coding RNA is filed under the name Felis catus (domestic cat). RNAcentral describes it as "lncRNA (ENSFCAG00000046450.2)". The record is from RNAcentral. Lineage: Eukaryota; Metazoa; Chordata; Mammalia; Carnivora; Felidae.